Molecule: ribosomal RNA, 468 nt
Filed under: uncultured bacterium
Lineage: Bacteria
Description: partial 16S ribosomal RNA
Rfam family: Bacterial small subunit ribosomal RNA
Source: RNAcentral
GACGAACGCUGGCGGCGUGCUUAACACAUGCAAGUCGAACGGAAAGGCCCUGCUUUUGUGGGGUGCUCGAGUGGCGAACGGGUGAGUAACACGUGAGUAACCUGCCCUUGACUUUGGGAUAACUUCAGGAAACUGGGGCUAAUACCGGAUAGGAGCUCCUGCUGCAUGGUGGGGGUUGGAAAGUUUCGGCGGUUGGGGAUGGACUCGCGGCUUAUCAGUUUGUUGGUGGGGUAGUGGCUUACCAAGGCUUUGACGGGUAGCCGGCGUGAGUGGGUGACCGGCCACAUUGGGACUGAGAUACGGCCCCGACUCCUACGGGAGGCAGCAGUGGGGAAUAUUGCACAAUGGGCGGAAGCCUGAUGCAGCAACGCCGCGUGCGGGAUGACGGCCUUCGGGUUGUAAACCGCUUUCGCCUGUGACGAAGCGUGAGUGACGGUAAUGGGUAAAGAAGCACCGGCUAACUACGUG